RNAcentral lists this ribosomal RNA (2175 nucleotides) under Clostridioides difficile. Its description in RNAcentral is "bacterial LSU rRNA". It matches the Rfam family "Bacterial large subunit ribosomal RNA", at positions 14 to 2212 of the family's 2925-position model. The record is from RNAcentral. Lineage: Bacteria; Bacillati; Bacillota; Clostridia; Peptostreptococcales; Peptostreptococcaceae.
AGGGUGCAGGGCGGAUGCCUUGGCACUAGGAGCCGAUGAAGGACGUGAUAAGCUGCGAUAAGCUUCGGGGAGUUGCACGUAAACUUUGAUCCGAAGAUUUCCGAAUGAGGAAACUCACUUAGAGUAAUGUCUAAGUAUCAUUAAGUGAAUACAUAGCUUAAUGAGGGGAACUCAGGGAACUGAAACAUCUAAGUACCUGAAGGAAGAGAAAGAAAUUCGAUUCCGUAAGUAGCGGCGAGCGAACGCGGAUUAGCCCAAACCAAUAAAGUUUUCUUUAUUGGGGUUGCGGACAUAUCAUAACGAAGAGGUAUCGUAAUUGAAGAGGUUUGGAAAGACCCACCACAGAAGGUAAUAGUCCUGUAUGUUAAACGAGAAGACUUCAGAUAUGAUCCAGAGUACCACGGGACACGUGAAACCCUGUGGGAAGCAGGAGGGACCACCCUCCAAGGCUAAAUACUACCUAGUGACCGAUAGCGUAUAGUACCGUGAGGGAAAGGUGAAAAGAACCCCGGGAGGGGAGUGAAAUAGAACCUGAAACCCUGCACUUACAAGCUGUGGAAGCACAUUUCUUGUGUGACCGCGUACUUUUUGUAGAACGGGCCAACGAGUUACGUUAAGUAGCAAGGUUAAGCACUUAAGGUGCGGAGCCGUAGCGAAAGCGAGUUUUAACUGAGCGUUCAGUUACUUGACGUAGACCCGAAACCGGGCGACCUACCCAUGAGCAGGAUGAAGCGAAAGUAAAAUUUCGUGGAGGUCCGAACCCACGAGCGUUGAAAAGCUCGGGGAUGACUUGUGGGUAGCGGUGAAAUUCCAAUCGAGCCCGGAGAUAGCUGGUUCUCCCCGAAAUAGCUUUAGGGCUAGCCUCAAGGUGAGAGAUACGGAGGUAGAGCACUGAAUGUCCUAGGGGGUAUUGCACCUACCGAAGACUAUCAAACUCCGAAUGCCGUCAUCUUAUACUUGGGAGUCAGACUGUGGGUGAUAAGAUUCAUAGUCGAAAGGGCAACAGCCCAGAUCGUCAGCUAAGGUCCCUAAAUGUAAGUUAAGUGGUAAAGGAUGUGGGAUUGCACAGACAACCAGGAUGUUGGCUUAGAAGCAGCCACUCAUUCAAAGAGUGCGUAAUAGCUCACUGGUCGAGUGAUCCUGCGCCGAAGAUUUCCGGGGCUAAAACUUACUACCGAAGCUACGGCAUCAGUAAUGAUGGGUAGGGGAGCUUCCCAUACGGGUUGAAGCAUGACCGUAAGGACAUGUGGACAGUAUGGGAGUGAGAAUGUUGGCAUGAGUAGCGAGAUGUGGGUGAGAAUCCCACAGGCCGUAAACCCAAGGUUUCCAGGGGAAGGUUCGUCCGCCCUGGGUUAGUCGGGACCUAAGCUGAGGCCGAAAGGCGUAGGUGAUGGACAACAGGUUGAUAUUCCUGUACUACCGAUAACCGUUUGAGAGAAGGGAUGACACAGUAGGAUAAGCUAAGCACACUGUUGGUUAUGUGUGCCCAAGCAUUGAGGCAGUCAAAGUAGGCAAAUCCGCUUUGAUAAUGCUGGGAUGUGAUGGGGAGCGAAAUUUAGUAGCGAAGUAGCUGAUUUCACACUGUCAAGAAAAGUCUCUAUCGAGGUUAAAGGUACCCGUACCGCAAACCGACACAGGUGGGUGAGGAGAGUAUCCUAAGGCCAGCGAGAGAACUGUUGUUAAGGAACUCGGCAAAAUGACCCCGUAACUUAGGGAUAAGGGGUGCCACCAUCAGGUGGCCGCAGAGAAUAGGCCCAAGCGACUGUUUACCAAAAACAUAGGUUUCUGCUAAGUCGCAAGACGAUGUAUAGGAGCUGACGCCUGCCCGGUGCUGGAAGGUUAAGGGGAUCUGUUAGAGCAAUCGAAGCAGUGAACUUAAGCCCCAGUAAACGGCGGCCGUAACUAUAACGGUCCUAAGGUAGCGAAAUUCCUUGUCGGGUAAGUUCCGACCCGCACGAAAGGCGUAACGAUUUGGGCACUGUCUCAACAACAGACUCGGUGAAAUUGUAAUUCCGGUGAAGAUGCCGGAUACCUGCGACAGGACGGAAAGACCCCAUGGAGCUUUACUGUAGCUUGACAUUGGGUCUUGGUACUACAUGUACAGGAUAGGUGGGAGGCUUUGAAACCAGGACGCCAGUUUUGGCGGAGCCAUCCUUGGGAUACCACCCUUGUAGU